This 44-nucleotide non-coding RNA is filed under the name Trichobilharzia regenti. Lineage: Eukaryota; Metazoa; Platyhelminthes; Trematoda; Strigeidida; Schistosomatidae. The record is from RNAcentral.
ACUGGCUGACGAGUCCCAAAUAGGACGAAAUGAGCAUUCCAGAU